This 402-nucleotide ribosomal RNA is filed under the name Verrucomicrobiota bacterium. RNAcentral's name for it is "Verrucomicrobia bacterium partial 16S ribosomal RNA". It matches the Rfam family "Bacterial small subunit ribosomal RNA", at positions 355 to 776 of the family's 1533-position model. The record is from RNAcentral. Lineage: Bacteria; Pseudomonadati; Verrucomicrobiota.
UGGGGAAUAUUGCACAAUGGGGGAAACCCUGAUGCAGCGACGCCGCGUGAGCGAAGAAGGUUUUCGAAUCGUAAAGCUCUGUCCUAUGGGAAGAUAAUGACGGUACCAUAGGAGGAAGCCCCGGCUAACUACGUGCCAGCAGCCGCGGUAAUACGUAGGGGGCAAGCGUUGUCCGGAAUCACUGGGCGUAAAGGGUUCGCAGGCGGAAAUGCAAGUCAGUUGUGAAAGGCAGAGGCUCAACCUCUGUAAGCAAUUGAAACUGUAUUUCUUGAGAUGUGGAGAGGCAAGUGAAUUCCUAGUGUAGCGGUGAAAUGCGUAGAUAUUAGGAAGAAUACCGGUGGCGAAGGCGACUUGCUGGACACAAACUGACGCUGAGGAACGAAAGCGUGGGUAGCAAACAGG